This 252-nucleotide ribosomal RNA is filed under the name uncultured bacterium. RNAcentral describes it as "partial 16S ribosomal RNA". It matches the Rfam family "Bacterial small subunit ribosomal RNA", at positions 524 to 776 of the family's 1533-position model. The record is from RNAcentral.
UACGUAGGGGGCAAGCGUUGUCCGGAAUUAUUGGGCGUAAAGCGCGCGCAGGCGGUUAUGUAAGUCACAUGUUUAAACCCAAGGCUCAACCUUGGAUCGCAUGGGAAACUGCAUAACUUGAGUGCAGAAGAGGAGAGCGGAAUUCCACGUGUAGCGGUGAAAUGCGUAGAUAUGUGGAGGAACACCAGUGGCGAAGGCGGCUCUCUGGUCUGUAACUGACGCUGAGGCGCGAAAGCGUGGGGAGCAAACAGG